Triticum aestivum (bread wheat) is the source of this 321-nucleotide long non-coding RNA. RefSeq lists it as uncharacterized. The record is from RefSeq and is a predicted model, not a curated record. The transcript is spliced from 3 exons. NCBI's taxonomy places the organism in Eukaryota, Viridiplantae, Streptophyta, Magnoliopsida, Poales, Poaceae.
UUCUGUUGGAAACAAGUUUAGGAUGUCUCUGGGUCUGCCUGUGGCAGCCACUGUGAACCGCGCUGAUAACACUGUUGCUGCAUCUGGCGGAGCUGUCGCUGCCGCCCCAAAGGGCAACCUUCAUCACACACAACCCCAUAACAGGGCCUCAAGGCCGACGCCAAAAGUGGUGCUUGUGGUGCCAAGCAAGACUAACUGUAUGUGAGAUUUUGGUCCAUCUGUACACCAUCUUUGGGGUCCAGGCGUACGCCUCCAUGCUUGUCGGCGGUGCCCUUUCCUUCAACCUCGUCUUCCCCUCCAGCGAGCCAGACAUGUGGAGGC